RNAcentral lists this unclassified non-coding RNA (512 nucleotides) under Hevea brasiliensis (rubber tree). Lineage: Eukaryota; Viridiplantae; Streptophyta; Magnoliopsida; Malpighiales; Euphorbiaceae. The record is from RNAcentral.
CCCACAAGUGUCUUACGGCAAUGGGCUGAGGAGUUGGAUAAGAAGGUUAACAGUAAAGCUAAUCUUUCUGUUCUGGUAUACCAUGGAAGCAAUCGAACAAAGGAUCCUUGUGAGCUCACCAAGUAUGAUGUUGUUCUAACUACAUAUUCCAUUGUUAGCAUGGAGGUGCCAAAACAGCCUAUUGUUGAUGAUGAUGAUGAUGAGAAAGGAAAAGGAGAAGGAGAUGAUGUAGCAUCAUUGGGGCUUUCUUCUGGUAAGAAAAGAAAAUAUCCUCCCAGUUCUGGCAAGAAGGGGUCUAGGAAUGAGAAGGGAAUGGAUGCUGCAUUACUUGAGUCUGUUGCUCGACCUCUGGCAAAGGUGGCAUGGUUUAGGGUUGUUCUGGAUGAGGCCCAGAGCAUCAAGAAUCACAGAACUCAAGUAGCUAGGGCCUGUUGGGGUCUUCGUGCAAAGCGCAGGUGGUGCUUGUCUGGAACUCCUAUCCAGAAUGCAAUAGAUGAUCUUUAUAGCUACUU